UGACGGCUCCAACCUUGGAAAGAUAUGAUCUAUAAUCUUUGAAAAUAAAAAUAACUAUGUAUCAUAUUGGAUUAACUAUAUACUAAAAUAAAAUAACUAUAUAUCAUAUUUAUUUAAUCGUAUAUCAUGAUACCUUAACUUUGUACCAUGUUCAUAAAAGUAACGUGGUGUUUUGUAUGCUUGGAGGAGGAAGUAAUGUUAUAAUGGUUUGAUUAGGAACUAUGGUUGACA
This 231-nucleotide long non-coding RNA is filed under the name Elaeis guineensis (African oil palm). RNAcentral describes it as "long non-coding RNA (EGUI_LNC039962)". The record is from RNAcentral. Lineage: Eukaryota; Viridiplantae; Streptophyta; Magnoliopsida; Arecales; Arecaceae.